RNAcentral lists this ribosomal RNA (497 nucleotides) under uncultured bacterium. RNAcentral describes it as "partial 16S ribosomal RNA". It matches the Rfam family "Bacterial small subunit ribosomal RNA", at positions 28 to 507 of the family's 1533-position model. The record is from RNAcentral.
GAUGAACGCUGGCGGCGUGCCUAAUACAUGCAAGUCGAGCGAACAGAUGAGGAGCUUGCUCCUCUGACGUUAGCGGCGGGCGGGUGAGUAACACGUGGAUAACCUACCUAUAAGACUGGGAUAACUUCGGGAAACCGGAGCUAAUACCGGAUAAUAUAUUGAACCGCAUGGUUCAAUAGUGAAAGACGGUUUUGCUGUCACUUAUAGAUGGAUCCGCGCCGCAUUAGCUAGUUGGUAAGGUAACGGCUUACCAAGGCGACGAUGCGUAGCCGACCUGAGAGGGUGAUCAGCCACACUGGAACUGAGACACGGUCCAGACUCCUACGGGAGGCAGCAGUAGGGAAUCUUCCGCAAUGGGCGAAAGCCUGACGGAGCAACGCCGCGUGAGUGAUGAAGGUCUUCGGAUCGUAAAACUCUGUUAUUAGGGAAGAACAAAUGUGUAAGUAACUAUGCACGUCUUGACGGUACCUAAUCAGAAAGCCACGGCUAACUACGUG